Non-coding RNA from Podarcis lilfordi (Lilford's wall lizard), 75 nucleotides. Lineage: Eukaryota; Metazoa; Chordata; Lepidosauria; Squamata; Lacertidae. The record is from the annotation of a GenBank genome assembly.
ACCAUGAGGUAGCUCAGUUGGUAGAGCAUGAGAUGCUUAAUCUCAGGGUUGAGGGUUUGGGUCCCACCUUGGGCU